RNAcentral lists this ribosomal RNA (577 nucleotides) under uncultured bacterium. Its description in RNAcentral is "bacterial SSU rRNA". It matches the Rfam family "Bacterial small subunit ribosomal RNA", at positions 102 to 666 of the family's 1533-position model. The record is from RNAcentral.
ACGGGUGCUUAACACGUGGGCAAUCUGUCUUAAAGUGGGGGAUAGCUCGGCGAAAGCCGAAUUAAUACCGCAUGUGAUUAGAGUGGACAUCCAUUCGAAAUUAAAGCCGGGGCAACCUGGCGCUUUUUGAGGAGCCCGCGGCCUAUCAGCUUGUUGGUGAGGUAACGGCUCACCAAGGCUUUGACGGGUAGCUGGUCUGAGAGGACGACCAGCCACACUGGGACUGAGACACGGCCCAGACACCUACGGGUGGCAGCAGUCGAGAAUUUUUCUCAAUGGGGGAAACCCUGAAGGAGCGACGCCGCGUGGAGGAUGAAGGUCUUCGGAUUGUAAACUCCUGUCAUUGGGGAACAAGUCGCUUACGUUAACUGCGUGAGCGUUGAUAGUACCCGAAGAGGAAGAGACGGCUAACUCUGUGCCAGCAGCCGCGGUAAUACAGAGGUCUCAAGCGUUGUUCGGAUUCAUUGGGCGUAAAGGGUGCGUAGGCGGCGCGGUAAGUCGGGUGUGAAAUCUUGGAGCUUAACUCCGAAACUGCAUUCGAUACUCCCGUGCUUGAGGACUGGAGAGGAGACUGGAA